Molecule: ribosomal RNA, 402 nt
Filed under: uncultured bacterium
Lineage: Bacteria
Description: bacterial SSU rRNA
Rfam family: Bacterial small subunit ribosomal RNA
Source: RNAcentral
UGAUGAAUAUUGGUCAAUGGACGAGAGUCUGAACCAGCCAUGCCGCGUGAGUGAUGACGGCCUUAGGGUUGUAAAGCUCUUUUAACAGGGACGAUAAUGACGGUACCUGUAGAAUAAGCCCCGGCUAACUUCGUGCCAGCAGCCGCGGUAAUACGAAGGGGGCGAGCGUUGUUCGGAAUUACUGGGCGUAAAGGGCGCGUAGGCGGCCGAUCAAGUCAGAUGUGAAAGUCCUGGGCUUAACCUGGGGACUGCAUUUGAUACUGAUUGGCUUGAAUGCAGGAGAGGAUAGCGGAAUUCCCAGUGUAGAGGUGAAAUUCGUAGAUAUUAGGAAGAACACCGGUGGAGAAGGCGGCCAUCUGGCUCGGUACUGACGCUCAGGCGCGAAAGCGUGGGGAGCAAACA